CUACGGAGGAUGCGAGCGUUAUCCGGAUUUAUUGGGUUUAAAGGGAGCGUAGGCGGGAGCUUAAGUCAGCGGUUAAAUGGUGCGGCUCAACCGUGCCCUGCCGUUGAAACUGGGUUUCUUGAGAGUGCAAGAGGCGGAUGGAAUUCAUGGUGUAGCGGUGAAAUGCUUAGAUAUCAUGAAGAACUCCGAUUGCGAAGGCAGUCCGCUGGGGCACGUCUGACGCUGAUGCUCGAAGGUGCGGGAAUCAAACAGGAUUAGAUACCCUGGUAGUCCGCACGGUAAACGAUGAUUACCCGCUGUCGGCGGUAGACAGUCGGCGGCCAAGCGAAAGCGAUAAGUAAUCCACCUGGGGAGUACGCCGGCAACGGUGAAACUCAAAUGAAUUGGCGGGG
Molecule: ribosomal RNA, 392 nt
Filed under: uncultured bacterium
Lineage: Bacteria
Description: partial 16S ribosomal RNA
Rfam family: Bacterial small subunit ribosomal RNA
Source: RNAcentral